This 4271-nucleotide long non-coding RNA is filed under the name Nicotiana tabacum (common tobacco). Its description in RNAcentral is "long non-coding RNA (NTAB_LNC007879)". The record is from RNAcentral. Lineage: Eukaryota; Viridiplantae; Streptophyta; Magnoliopsida; Solanales; Solanaceae.
UCCUAUUUUUAUAUAAAGACGAAAAAAUUAAAAAACAAACCCUAAAGUAACAAAUCUCCUCCUCAUAAAGGAGCUAACGCUCCAGCUUCUCAACCCCAAAUCACCUUUCUUCUACGACUUGCUUCUCAGUGAAGAGGACCACACACCGUCGGUGGUGAACAUGCUCCUUCUUGUCUCAUUAUCUGGCGAAUCGAGCGCUGAUUUCCGUCCUCAUUUCUUCCUCUAUCUUGAUUUUGUGCUCUCUGUUUUCACAGGGCGAAAAAACCUAAUCUCUUUUUCUCUAAUGUGAUGGUUUACGAAUUAUCAUCAUAUUCAAAAGAAGCUAUUAUACCUGAUGGCGACUGGUGUGUUUGUGCAGCGCAAGGCUCAUGGUAAGCACGGUCUUUAGGGUUUUUUGGUUAUUUAGUGUUGUUUCCUUUCUCUAGAAGUGUAAAAUUAAGUCCCGAUUAUGUGGAUUUUAACUCUUUUUUAUGGUAUCUUUGUUCUCUUAAGCUUUAAAACUACUGGGUUUGAUUAAAUUUUUGCAAUUUAGGGUUUUUAUACUUGAAUACUGCUCAAUGCUUUGGAGUGCUAAGUUUUAGGUAAUUUUGGAAAGAUUCAAUUCCCAUUUUCCGUAGUUAUUGGUUAUGAUAGCCUAGAAAUUAGGUCUUUGAAUGAGAACUUGUAUUAAUUUGCUUCAUAUGUUCCCUUGAUGAUAUAUUAUUUUAGAUUAGAAAGAAAAAUAGAAUUGGGGAUUUAUUCCAUCUUGUGAUUUUUCAUAGAAAAGAGAAUAUGUGAUUCACAUAUAUUUGGAUAGUUGAUUUAUUAUGUAUUUGGGAUGCCCAUCUAAUCAGAUUGGUCGCUAGUUAAUUUGCCAAAUUGAAACUAAGUGCUCUUAUUGUUAUCAACUUCUAUUUAUUUCCUUGUUAAUCCAAUGCUCCGAACAGGUUAUUUUUACCAUCCUAAUAUUAUAAACAUAUUAUUUUUGGAGAUUUGUACUUGUCAAUGAUCUGCAUUAGAAAAUCUGAUACAAUUUUCUUCUCAUGUUUAAUCUUUUAGUAGCCUCCUUAUGGAAACUACCUGAUGAACUUUUUUCAAGUUUAUAUUCUUAUUAAUCACCUUUGUAUUAGGUGUAUCAUUGAAGGGUGCAUAUUUUAUCAUAAGAAGAGAUGUUCCAUAAAGAUGUAGAAGUUGGAAAAGUUGGUUAUUAAAAUUUGUGUUGGUAUGUGAUUAAGUUGAAAAGCAUUUUUGACUUGGCAAGAUAAAUCCUUUUCUGCUAUUUUAAACUACAUUUCUCACUAUUUGAUUUUUUUGUUUUCCCCCCAUGGAGCAAAUCUUAUAUUCGAAGUUUGUUCCGGAAGAGAUUGAUAUUUCAGCUUAUUAGCAACUUUAAGGUACAGUAACUUUUGGUAGGAUGCAUUGUGGUUAAUGAGUUAUGAUAAGAGCCAAGUGUCUUAAAUAUUAGUGUUAAGCUCAUGUUAGAAUAGUAGUAGUCAAGUGUUCUAGUUUCAUGAUAAUACUAUUACACGCCUGUUCAACUUAUACAUUUAUAGUUGGUCCUAAAGUUAUAAUCUUGUGCAUUAUACACUACUUUCUUAGUCAUAUGUCUAAAUGGUUGUAGGUUAGCAGUUCUAUCAUAUUUGUUCAGGGAGAUCGGUGAAUUAGUGGCUACAAAUUGGUAAAACCAAGGGAAAGUAAGCUAUGUUUGAAUUUUACCCCUUUGGCGUGGCUAAUUUGUGGUCUGAUUUGCUAAUUUUAUAGCUGCAUUUCUUCUGCUGUCGCGGAGAACCAACUGAUAAUUCUCAUGUUUCUUCGUGUAUAAGUUUAUUAUCCGGCGUUAUUAUCAUGUGUCAAGAUGUUAUUAUCUUUCAUGUAAAAUAUGUGGUUCUGUCUUUUGCUGAGAAGACUUAAACCACAUGGACAAAGAAACUGGUCUCGGAAAGAUGACGGAUAAACGAGUUAGUAAAUCUUUGAUAUUCCUAUUGACAAUCAUUGUUUUUUUGCUUGUUUAUUUAGUAAUUCCAUUAUGUCUAUAGGAUACAACAACAACCCAGUAAAAUCCCACUAAUGGGGUCUGAGAAGGGUAGUGUGCACGCAAAUCUUACCCCUACCCCGAAAGAGUAGAGAGGUGUUUCCGAAAGACCAUCGGUUCAAGAAAAUAAAAAGACAAAAGGACAAAAAGGAGACAAUGUUAGUAACACCACAACAAUCAUAGGAAAAAUAGGAACACCAUGAAAUCCAGAAGAAAGAUGCAAAGCAAAGGGAGACAAUAUUAAUAUCACCACAGCAAUCAUAAAAAAAAUAAGAACACCAUGAAAUUCAGAAGAAAGAUGCAAAGCAAAAGCGAUAGCUAGUAAAUAGGACCUGCAAUGAAAAGCGAAAUAGUAAGACACAACAUUGCCACUAGUUAUCUUAGACAAAAACCCUACAUGGCUAGUCCCACAAUGGUACGAAGUAAGGCACAACUCAAUUACCUCCUAACCUACAACCCUAAUACUCGACUUCCACAUCUUCCUAUCAAGUGUCAUGUCCUCGGAAAUCUGGAGUCUCGCCAUAUCUUGCCUGAUCACCUCUCCCCAAUACUUCUUUGGCCGCCCUCUACCUCUUCUCGUGCCCUCCACAACCAGUCGCUCACACUUCCGUACCAGAGCAUCUGGGCUUCUCCUCUGAACAUGUCCGAACCAUCUAAAGCCUCGCUUCCCGCAUCUUGUCAUCAAUGAGAGCCACAUGCACCUUCUCUCGAAUAUCGUCACUCCUAAUCUUAUCUAUCUUAGUGUGCCCGCACAUCCACCACAACAUCCUCAUUUCUGCUACUUUCAUCUUCUGGAUAUGUGACUUCUUAACGGGCCAACACUCAGCCCCAUACAUCAUGGCCGGUCUAACCACCGCUUUAUAUAACUUACCUUUGAGUAUCGGUGGCACUCUCUUAUCACACAGGACUCCAGAUGCUAACCUCCACUUCAUUCAUCCUACCCCAAUACGGUGUGUGACAUCCUCGUCGAUCUCCCCUCCCCCCUGGAUAACCGAACCAAGGUACUUAAAGCUGCUUCUACUCGGGAUGACCUGCGAAUCAAGCCUCACAUCCACGCCCACUUCCCCUGGCUCAACGCUGAACUUACACUCCAGGUAUUCCGUCUUCGUCUUGCUCAGCUUGAAGCCCUUAGACUCAAGAGCCUGUCUCCAAACCUCCAGCCNNNNNNNNNNNNNNNNNNNNNNNNNAAUCGACACACUUUUUGCCUCCAAGCAUCUCCAGAGAACUUCUUUAGGAACUCCUUCUUCCUCUCUGUGUACAAUUCUACAACCUUCUAACAAGGUGUAUAGCUUCUGUAGUCGAACGACCCGGCAUGAACCCGAACUGGUUGUCGGAUACGGAAACCGUCAUCCUCACCUUCGCUUCAACCACCCUCUCCCACACUUUCAUGGUAUGUCUAUAGGAUGAUGGAAAUUAAAAUUUAAAGAAUAGAUUUAAGUUGUAAAAAAAUGUUGAAGGCUACUGGAAACUAGUAAAAGGUUGAACUCAAGCUAUUCUCAUGCAUGCAAAUAUCUCAUUUUAAAUAGAAUAGCUAGAACAGUUUAUGUAUAAAUAUUGUAUGUUCAUUUGAGUUGUUUUGGUUUGUGAUAUAUGCGAAUAAGAGCUUGGGGAUGUUUAAGUUUCAUGGUUGACCUUACUGUCCACGGAGAAAGAGAUAGGAUUGAUAUUGCACUAUCAAAAUUUUAUCUCAUAGGAUUUAACAUUUUCUUGAAGUGCACAUCUUAUUUCAAUGAGAUUAAAACAUGAAGGCAGUGGAGAUGUUAAACUCUCCAUACAUAACAUUUAUUUCUAUCGCUUGUGAAUUAUUUCAAAUGUUAACAUUGUCAAACUAUACUUGCAUCACAACACAUUGUAAUACUCAAUUAGGAAGUUUGUUCUUUUUCAGUUGAUUAGUUUAAAGUUUGGGGAUUUACAAAUGAAUGAAAGUAAUUUUAGUCAUCAUUCCGAUCGCGACUUUUUAAAGAACAUAUUCACAUGGUUGCAUCAUUCCAUAUUAAUGGUAUCUGAAUGUGUUGUCUAAUAAAUCUCCUUGAAUCUUUGUAGGUAGUAACCAAUCUAUCCAAAGUGUGUGCAAAGUAUAAUGAUGCACCUUCUUAUAGGCAGUACCAAGGAGCGGAACAAUGGGAUCUGCCAAUAUUAUCCUAUCUUGGUUUUGGUCAGGCCUUUUCUCUCACAUUUGGCAGCAUUUAGGACAUCAAAGUUUGUUAGUUGAAUUACAAAAUCAUGUUCUUUAGGGGAGGAGGGAAUGGUUCUAGCCAAG